This 540-nucleotide ribosomal RNA is filed under the name uncultured Agromyces sp. RNAcentral describes it as "bacterial SSU rRNA". It matches the Rfam family "Bacterial small subunit ribosomal RNA", at positions 355 to 897 of the family's 1533-position model. The record is from RNAcentral. Lineage: Bacteria; Bacillati; Actinomycetota; Actinomycetes; Micrococcales; Microbacteriaceae.
UGGGGAAUAUUGCACAAUGGGCGCAAGCCUGAUGCAGCAACGCCGCGUGCGGGAUGACGGCCUUCGGGUUGUAAACCGCUUUUAGUAAGGAAGAAGGGGAGCUUGCUCCUUGACGGUACUUGCAGAAAAAGGACCGGCUAACUACGUGCCAGCAGCCGCGGUAAUACGUAGGGUCCGAGCGUUGUCCGGAAUUAUUGGGCGUAAAGAGCUCGUAGGCGGUUUGUCGCGUCUGCUGUGAAAUCCCGAGGCUCAACCUCGGGCCUGCAGUGGGUACGGGCAGACUUGAGUGGUGUAGGGGAGACUGGAAUUCCUGGUGUAGCGGUGGAAUGCGCAGAUAUCAGGAGGAACACCGAUGGCGAAGGCAGGUCUCUGGGCACUUACUGACGCUGAGGAGCGAAAGCGUGGGGAGCGAACAGGAUUAGAUACCCUGGUAGUCCACGCCGUAAACGUUGGGCGCUAGAUGUGGGGACCUUUCCACGGUUUCCGUGUCGUAGCUAACGCAUUAAGCGCCCCGCCUGGGGAGUACGGCCGCAAGGCUAA